UACACACCGCCCGUCACACCAUGGGAGAUGGUUUUACCUGAAGACGGUGCGCUAACCGCAAGGAGGCAGCCGGCCACGGUAGGGUCAGCGACUGGGGUG
This 99-nucleotide ribosomal RNA is filed under the name uncultured bacterium. RNAcentral's name for it is "partial 16S ribosomal RNA". It matches the Rfam family "Bacterial small subunit ribosomal RNA", at positions 1384 to 1482 of the family's 1533-position model. The record is from RNAcentral.